GAAGAAUGCGGCUGCUCAAGAGUCUACAAGAACUCGUAAAUGUAAUCCUACAAAAAACAUCAGGGCUACGCACGGCAGGCUGAUGGGAGUAGAAUUCAACCCAAAGAACCCUUUCUAACUCAUCCGGCCUUUAAUCUCACUUCAAGUGAAAAAGAAAUCUCAACAUGACCAAGGAAUAUCCUGAGCCACAUAUUCAACCAUGUGCGGGAGAAUAAAGCCUUCAUCGUCUACUAAAUAAAAAUUCUGAGUAAUGAACACCUGGCUACACUAUGAGUCAACAGUAAUUCCUGCAACA
Molecule: long non-coding RNA, 295 nt
Organism: Ailuropoda melanoleuca (giant panda)
Lineage: Eukaryota; Metazoa; Chordata; Mammalia; Carnivora; Ursidae
Exons: 3
Source: RefSeq, a predicted model, not a curated record